Molecule: ribosomal RNA, 418 nt
Filed under: uncultured Clostridium sp.
Lineage: Bacteria; Bacillati; Bacillota; Clostridia; Eubacteriales; Clostridiaceae
Description: bacterial SSU rRNA
Rfam family: Bacterial small subunit ribosomal RNA
Source: RNAcentral
UGGGGGAUAUUGGUCAAUGGGGGAAACCCUGAACCAGCAACGCCGCGUGAGGGAAGAAGGUUUUCGGAUUGUAAACCUCUGUUUUUGGUGACGAAACAAAUGACGGUAGCCAAGGAGAAAGCCACGGCUAACUACGUGCCAGCAGCCGCGGUAAUACGUAGGUGGCAAGCGUUGUCCGGAAUUACUGGGUGUAAAGGGAGCGCAGGCGGGAGAGCAAGUCAGACGUGAAAACUAUGGGCUUAACCCAUAACGUGCGUUUGAAGCUGUUUUUCUUGAGUGAAGUAGAGGUAGGCGGAAUUCCGAGUGUAGCGGUGAAAUGCGUAGAUAUUCGGAGGAACGCCAGUGGCGAAGGCGGCCUACUGGGCUUUUACUGACGCUGAGGCUCGAAAGUGUGGGGAGCAAACAGGAUUAGAUACCC